AUCAGUUCGUUUGGCAGUAACUGUGAUACCAUAUGUCACUGUACCAAACCCGGAUGUGACAGAUUCACCGGAUUAUGUAACGUUACGGGAUGUGAUGUUGGCUGGAUAGGUUCGGCGUGUGACCAAGAAGAAGCUGUUCAAAAAGCAGAUGAUAACCAAAAUGGUCCUCCUCUGGCUGGAAUCAUAGGUGGAGCGUGUGCCGCGGUCGUGGCUGUUAUCGUCAUAAUCAUCAUCACCGUCAUAAUGAUC
Mizuhopecten yessoensis (Yesso scallop) is the source of this 249-nucleotide long non-coding RNA. RefSeq lists it as uncharacterized. NCBI's taxonomy places the organism in Eukaryota, Metazoa, Mollusca, Bivalvia, Pectinida, Pectinidae. The record is from RefSeq and is a predicted model, not a curated record. The transcript has 3 exons.